Molecule: ribosomal RNA, 614 nt
Filed under: uncultured bacterium
Lineage: Bacteria
Description: bacterial SSU rRNA
Rfam family: Bacterial small subunit ribosomal RNA
Source: RNAcentral
AAAAACCGAGGUGGUAUGAGAUGGACCCGCGUCUGAUUAGCUGGUUGGCGGGGUAACGGCCCACCAAGGCGACGAUCAGUAGCCGACCUGAGAGGGUGGCCGGCCACAUUGGGACUGAGACACGGCCCAAACUCCUACGGGAGGCAGCAGUGGGGAAUAUUGCACAAUGGGGGAAACCCUGAUGCAGCAACGCCGCGUGAGUGAAGAAGUAUUUCGGUAUGUAAAGCUCUAUCAGCAGGGAAGAGAAUGACGGUACCUGACUAAGAAGCCCCGGCUAACUACGUGCCAGCAGCCGCGGUAAUACGUAGGGGGCGAGCGUUAUCCGGAUUUACUGGGUGUAAAGGGAGCGUAGACGGUUCUGCAAGUCUGAAGUGAAAGCCCGUGGCUUAACCGCGGAACGGCUUUGGAAACUGUGGAACUGGAGUGCUGGAGAGGCAAGCGGAAUUCCUAGUGUAGCGGUGAAAUGCGUAGAUAUUAGGAGGAACACCAGUGGCGAAGGCGGCUUGCUGGACAGUAACUGACGUUGAGGCUCGAAAGCGUGGGGAGCAAACAGGAUUAGAUACCCUGGUAGUCCACGCGGUAAACGAUGAAUGCUAGGUGUUGGGGAGCAAAGC